GUCAGUACAGACACACAACGAGUAGGGCACGUGUCAGUACAGACACACAACAAGUAGGUCUGGUGUCAGUACAGACACACAACAACUAGGUCUGGUGUCAGUACAGACACACAACAACUAGGUCACAUGUCAGUACAGACACACAACCAGUAGGUCACAUGUCAGUACAGACAUAGAACCAGAAGGUCACAUGUCAGUACAGACACACAACCAGUAGGUCACAUGUCAGUACAGACACACAACCAGUAGGUCACAUGGCAGUACAGACACACAACCAGUAGGUCACAUGUCAGUACAGACACACAACAAGAAGGUCACAUGUCAGUACAGACACACAACAAGUAAGUCACAUGUCAGUACAGACACACAACAAGUAGGUCACGUGUCAGUACAGACACACAACAAGUAGGUCAUAUGUUGUACAGACACACAACAAGUAGGUCACAUGUCAGUACAGACACACAACAAGUAGGUCAC
Long non-coding RNA from Oncorhynchus tshawytscha (Chinook salmon), 477 nucleotides. Lineage: Eukaryota; Metazoa; Chordata; Actinopteri; Salmoniformes; Salmonidae. The record is from Ensembl.